GGAGCCGGCCAGACAGUCGCGUCAUCACUCGUGAUGCCGAGGAAAGUCCGGGCUCCACAGGGCACGGUGCCAGGUAACGCCUGGGCGGCGCGAGCCGACGGAAAGUGCAACAGAAAGAUACCGCCGAUGGCUCUUCGGAGAUCAGGCAAGGGUGAAAUGGUGCGGUAAGAGCGCACCGCGAGUCCGGCAACGGACCGGCACGGCAAACCCCACCGGGAGCAAGACCAAAUAGGGAGGCAAUGCCGCGGCCCGCGGUGCCUCCGGGUAGGUUGCUUGAGCGUAUCGGCGACGAUGCGCCUAGAGGAAUGACUGUCCACGACAGAACCCGGCUUAUCGGCCGGCUCCGCCC
RNAcentral lists this RNase P RNA (349 nucleotides) under Pseudoxanthomonas helianthi. RNAcentral describes it as "Bacterial RNase P class A". It matches the Rfam family "Bacterial RNase P class A". Rfam says of the family: Ribonuclease P (RNase P) is a ubiquitous endoribonuclease, found in archaea, bacteria and eukarya as well as chloroplasts and mitochondria. Its best characterised activity is the generation of mature 5'-ends of tRNAs by cleaving the 5'-leader elements of precursor-tRNAs. Cellular RNase Ps are ribonucleoproteins. Lineage: Bacteria; Pseudomonadati; Pseudomonadota; Gammaproteobacteria; Lysobacterales; Lysobacteraceae. The record is from Rfam by way of RNAcentral.